This 811-nucleotide ribosomal RNA is filed under the name bacterium. RNAcentral describes it as "bacterial SSU rRNA". It matches the Rfam family "Bacterial small subunit ribosomal RNA", at positions 23 to 859 of the family's 1533-position model. The record is from RNAcentral.
CUCAGGACGAACGCUGGCGGCGUGCUUAACACAUGCAAGUCGAACGGACCUUCGGGUUAGUGGCGAACGGGUGAGUAACACGUGGGUGAUCUGCCCUGCACUUUGGGAUAAGCCUGGGAAACUGGGUCUAAUACCGAAUAGGACCACGGCAUUCAUGUGCUGUGGUGGAAAGCUUUUGCGGUGUGGGAUGGGCCCGCGGCCUAUCAGCUUGUUGGUGGGGUAAUGGCCUACCAAGGCGACGACGGGUAGCCGGCCUGAGAGGGUGACCGGCCACACUGGGACUGAGAUACGGCCCAGACUCCUACGGGAGGCAGCAGUGGGGAAUAUUGCACAAUGGGCGCAAGCCUGAUGCAGCGACGCCGCGUGAGGGAUGACGGCCUUCGGGUUGUAAACCUCUUUCGCCAGGGACGAAGCGCAAGUGACGGUACCUGGAGAAGAAGGACCGGCCAACUACGUGCCAGCAGCCGCGGUAAUACGUAGGGUCCGAGCGUUGUCCGGAAUUACUGGGCGUAAAGAGCUCGUAGGUGGUUUGUCGCGUUGUUCGUGAAAACUCACAACUCAAUUGUGGGCGUGCGGGCGAUACGGGCAGACUGGAGUACUGCAGGGGAGACUGGAAUUCCUGGUGUAGCGGUGGAAUGCGCAGAUAUCAGGAGGAACACCGGUGGCGAAGGCGGGUCUCUGGGCAGUAACUGACGCUGAGGAGCGAAAGCGUGGGGAGCGAACAGGAUUAGAUACCCUGGUAGUCCACGCCGUAAACGGUGGGUACUAGGUGUGGGUUUCCUUCCUUGGGAUCCGUGCCGUAGCUAACGCA